AUUGAACGCUGGCGGCAGGCCUAACACAUGCAAGUCGAGCGGAUGAAGGGAGCUUGCUCCUGGAUUCAGCGGCGGACGGGUGAGUAAUGCCUAGGAAUCUGCCUGGUAGUGGGGGAUAACGUCCAGAAACGGGCGCUAAUACCGCAUACGUCCUGAGGGAGAAAGCGGGGGAUCUUCGGACCUCACGCUAUCAGAUGAGCCUAGGUCGGAUUAGCUAGUUGGUGGGGUAAAGGCCUACCAAGGCGACGAUCCGUAACUGGUCUGAGAGGAUGAUCAGUCACACUGGAACUGAGACACGGUCCAGACUCCUACGGGAGGCAGCAGUGGGGAAUAUUGGACAAUGGGCGAAAGCCUGAUCCAGCCAUGCCGCGUGUGUGAAGAAGGUCUUCGGAUUGUAAAGCACUUUAGGUUGGGAGGAAGGGCAGUAAGUUAAUACCUUGCUGUUUUGACGUUACCAACAGAAUAAGCACCGGCUAACUUCGUG
Molecule: ribosomal RNA, 484 nt
Filed under: uncultured bacterium
Lineage: Bacteria
Description: partial 16S ribosomal RNA
Rfam family: Bacterial small subunit ribosomal RNA
Source: RNAcentral